This 492-nucleotide ribosomal RNA is filed under the name uncultured bacterium. RNAcentral describes it as "partial 16S ribosomal RNA". It matches the Rfam family "Bacterial small subunit ribosomal RNA", at positions 29 to 507 of the family's 1533-position model. The record is from RNAcentral.
AGUGAACGCUGGCGGUAGGCCUAACACAUGCAAGUCGAACGGCAGCACAGUAAGAGCUUGCUCUUACGGGUGGCGAGUGGCGGACGGGUGAGGAAUACAUCGGAAUCUACUUUUUCGUGGGGGAUAACGUAGGGAAACUUACGCUAAUACCGCAUACGACCUACGGGUGAAAUCAGGGGAUCUUCGGACCUUGCGCGAUUGAAUUAGCCGAUGUCGGAUUAGCUAGUUGGCGGGGUAAAGGCCCACCAAGGCGACGAUCCGUAGCUGGUCUGAGAGGAUGAUCAGCCACACUGGAACUGAGACACGGUCCAGACUCCUACGGGAGGCAGCAGUGGGGAAUAUUGGACAAUGGGCGCAAGCCUGAUCCAGCCAUACCGCGUGGGUGAAGAAGGCCUUCGGGUUGUAAAGCCCUUUUGUUGGGAAAGAAAAGCAGCAGGUGAAUACCCCGCUGUUCUGACGGUACCCAAAGAAUAAGCACCGGCUAACUUCGUG